GAUGAACGCUAGCUACAGGCUUAACACAUGCAAGUCGAGGGGAAACGAUAGAGAAAGCUUGCUUUUUCUAGGCGUCGACCGGCGCACGGGUGAGUAACGCGUAUCCAACCUGCCCAUCACUUGGGGAUAACCUUGCGAAAGUAAGACUAAUACCCAAUGACGUCUCUAGAAGACAUCUGAAGGAGAUUAAAGAUUUAUCGGUGAUGGAUGGGGAUGCGUCUGAUUAGCUUGUUGGCGGGGUAACGGCCCACCAAGGCGACGAUCAGUAGGGGUUCUGAGAGGAAGGCCCCCCCACAUUGGAACUGAGACACGGUCCAAACUCCUACGGGAGGCAGCAGUGAGGAAUAUUGGUCAAUGGACGAGAGUCUGAACCNGCCAAGUAGCGUGCAGGAUGACGGCCCUAUGGGUUGUAAACUGCUUUUAUAAGGGAUAAAGUGAGUCUCGUGAGACUUUUUGCAUGUACCUUAUGAAUAA
This 474-nucleotide ribosomal RNA is filed under the name uncultured bacterium. RNAcentral describes it as "bacterial SSU rRNA". It matches the Rfam family "Bacterial small subunit ribosomal RNA", at positions 28 to 489 of the family's 1533-position model. The record is from RNAcentral.